GACGAACGCUGGCGGCGUGCUUAACACAUGCAAGUCGAGCGGUAAGGCCCUUUCGGGGGUACGACGAGCGGCGAACGGGUGAGUAACACGUGGGUGACCUGCCCUUAGCUCUGGGAUAAGCCUGGGAAACUGGGUCUAAUACCGGAUAUGACUCCAUAACGCAUGUUGUGGGGUGGAAAGCCUUGUGCGGCUAGGGAUGGGCCCGCGGCCUAUCAGCUUGUU
Molecule: ribosomal RNA, 222 nt
Filed under: uncultured bacterium
Lineage: Bacteria
Description: partial 16S ribosomal RNA
Rfam family: Bacterial small subunit ribosomal RNA
Source: RNAcentral